UGGGGUAUCGCCAAGCGGUAAGGCAGUAGACUCUGACUCUACCAUUCCCUAGGUUCGAAUCCUAGUACCCCAGCCA
Molecule: transfer RNA, 76 nt
Filed under: Ruminococcus sp.
Lineage: Bacteria; Bacillati; Bacillota; Clostridia; Eubacteriales; Oscillospiraceae
Description: tRNA-Gln
Rfam family: tRNA
About the family: Transfer RNA (tRNA) molecules are approximately 80 nucleotides in length.
Source: RNAcentral